UCAGGCCAGCCGGGCGGCUGCGGGUUUGGAGUCGUCGGCGGGUUGGGUUGCUGCGGUGUUGCUGGUAGCUCGGCCGUUGGCGGCGGACCGGACGCAUACGUGCCGGGGCGCCGAGGGCUGCGGCGUGACGGGCGCCCGGUUCUGCCUGCAGGUGCGCGCAGGUGCCGGCAGGUGCGCGGGGCGCGACCCCCAGAGCGGCCGGCCGCGGAGCCUCGGGAGGUGAGAGGGCGGGGAGCCCACCUGUGCGGGAGCCCUGAGCUCGGCUUACCCCGGAACAGCGCCGCGCGUCCUUCCCGCAGAGGGGCUCCGAAGGGCUCUGCGCGACGUGCUGGGUGCACUUAAGCCCUUAAGUCUAAGGCGAUAAGGUGCUGCCAUGCGCGGCCUCGUUCGCCGGAGAACAGGGAUUAAAACUUAACCCCUGUGGGGGCCGGGGGAACAGAGCCCCUUCCUCUGAAGUGGCCGGCGCCGGAGGGGCCUCGGGCCGGCGGGCUGGGGCUUCCGAGCAGCCGCUCGGGAGAGGCCCAGCGCAGCAGGUGCUGAACACACGGAACUCGGGCUCGCUUUCGGUAUUUGUAAGAUCCGGACAUUUCACGUAUAGUUUCCUAAUACAAAUUUAUGCGCAGACCAAAUAAAUUCUGCAGAGUGAUUUUGGCCCAGAGGCCUCUCCUUUGUCACCCUGUUUUAGACUACAGCUUAUUUUGAAUGAAAACGAGACAAAUAUGUUCAUUUUCUAAGUCUUAAUGUAAUGAUUAGGAAGUCUUUCAACAAUUAUUGGACUAGUUCAGAGGGGUGAGUCGGGCGUGUAAAGGGCCCUUCUCCCCAUAGCCCUUCUCCUCUCGCCACCCUCCCGCGGCCUCCGUGACCCCCCGCUCCGUGGCUCGCCUCGCCACCCUCCCGCGGCCUCCAUGACCCCCCCAACGUGGCUCGCCUCGCCACCCUCCCGCGGCCUCCAUGACCCCCCCCACGUGGCUCGCCUCGCCACCCUCCCGCGGCCUCCAUGACUCCCUCUCCUCCGUGGCUCGGCUCCCCUCGCCACCCUCCCGCGGGCCUCCGCGACCACCACCCGCUCCCAACUCUGGCUGCCUCCUUGGCCACUGGUUGUACUCCAGCCUCAGGGACCUGACCUCUGUGCCUGAGCCAGGCAGGGGAGAACUUAGGACCUCUCACACCCUCUCUAAUUCACUUAUUUAUUACAAAUCUCAGCGGCAGCGGGGUUUUGCUCUUUUGUUCUCACUGCUGGCGCUGCCUGCUGGCGCUGCCUGGCCCAGGGCAGUGGUGGGUGUUUGUUGUAGAGCUCAGGGGGAAGCAGACUAUGGUCACCGUCCAAAUCCUGCCGCCACCUGUUUUGGUUCAGACUACGGGCUAAGAAUGUCUUCUCAGUCUUUAAUGGCUGGGGGAAACAAUAAUAAUAUUUCAUGACAUGAAAAUUCUGUGAAAUGCAAAUGUCGCUGUGCUCGCUCGAGGUUUCCUGGAACACGGGCGUGCCCACCCAUUCACGGGCCACCUGCAGCUGCUUUUGCCAUGCAGGCCACGUUGAGGAGCUGCAGUAGAGGCCCUAUGACUGGCAAAGCUAGCAAUAUUUGCUAUCCAGCCCUUUACAGAAAAAGUUGCCAACUCCUGCGAUAGAUGAACGAGCAGCCUCUCCCUGGUUCCUCCGCUGGUCAUUCCUCCACUGACUCUCUCAAGGAGGUCCCUGUCUCAGAGUCAAAGCCAGAGUUCUUACAGCCAUGGUGGCCAGGCCCACACUGCCUGACUCCUACUGCCCUGGCACUGCCCGGCCCUCGUUGACUCUGCUCCAGCCACACCGUCCUCUUCUGGGUCCCACCUCAGGGACUUUGCACUGGCUGUGUCCCCGCUGGAAUGCUCCUCCCCAGACGUCUGCCCAUCUCACCCCUUACCUCUUCAGAUCUUUGCCCACACGUCACUGUCCUGGGACGGGGGGCUCUCCCUGCUCUUUCCCUGUAAAGCAGUGCCCCACCCAGCCUCAUUCUUCUCUGACGUUGACUUGUUCAUGGUCAGCCUCCCUGAGUAGAAUGAACGCUCCAGGAGAGCAGGGCCUUCUCUUCCUGUGCGAUGUACGAUGCCCAGCGCUGAGAAGAGGAAACACCCCCUGAGUCUUGGCGGGAUGGGUUGGUUGAGUCCCCACCAUUGCCCGGCACUGAUCUGAUGUGGACAUAAAAGAUUCUCCUGGCAGAAUGGCAGCUCUUCCCCGAGGGACUCACCAGGCCCACGCUCUGUCCUUCAGCCACAGGUACCUUUCACAUCCUGCAGUUCGGUCAGGUGUGGCCUGCUCUGACCUCACCUAGGAAGGAUUUUUGUUCUGAACCCAGGGUGGCCAUAUAACUUAAUGCCCAAAUGGGGCACCGUGGGCAUGAAAUGGGGCGCUAUACUCAUGAGACUGGCACCAACAUAAACUGGACUGUUCCAGUGAGUCAGGACAACGUGUGGCCUUGUCAGCUGCUGCGGGGCAUUCAUGUAUCAAAUCCUUGAUGAGCACUUUCUGUGUGCCCAAGAUGCUGGAUCUUAUUUUUAAUUUAAACUGAACAAAAGUGUGACCUCCUGGAUUUUAUCCGAGUUUGAGCACAGACUUGGAGCCCCGGGAAAGAGGGAGGGGUUUGUGCCCUGCCUGGUACUGGGCGCGAUGUGUAGUCUACGCUCAGGCAACAUGGGGAAUAAAGAGUGACCGACCACCUGCUCUGAGGUCACUGAGGCCACCGAGGCAGAGGACUGACCUGCAGCACCCUCGGUGGCCCUGAUGGCUCUCUGUCCGUGUGGGCCGCACUGUGGUCCUUGGAGGGGGUUCACCCCAUACUCAGCUUCCCAUCACGUGACCUUGGGCAAGUUUCUCAAAUGUGAAUUGAGAUUGCAAGCCCAGCUCGGGGGCUGUGAGGUUGAUGGUGUCACGUGUGGAAGCAGCUGGGCCCCCUGGCCCUGGUGACCGCAUCUAGGGUCCUGAGGGCCAGGCCUGAAGUGAGGGCAGCUGCACCGUGGAGCGCCGUGGUUUGGGGGUGGACACCUGCCUGUCUCCUGCUGCGGGUGCCGUGGGCAGCCCUGCAGCUGAGAACUCAGAGUCCAUGGACCUCCUGGAGUGCAGGGCUUUGUGGUUCCGGGACCGUGAAAGGGGUCCACCUCUGUUGUCCUCAGCACACGUCCCUGCCUUUCCCUCAGGGCAGCAAGAAUGUGUGUGUGUGUGUGUGUGUGUGUGUGUGUGUGUGUGUGUGUGCGCGCAGGAGGGGGACAGCUCUGCCAGCAGGCCACGUGGGGAAGACCCCAGGUGGGUCCAGGUGGAAGGGAAGCCGUCAGGCUGCAGGAGGGGGCUCCAGGGUGCCAAGCACCUACCACGUUGUCCCCGUUGUCCGUGGGACCCCCCACCCCACACAGAAGGCAGUGUCAUUGCUCACGUCGGGGAAGAGGACCCCGAGCUGGAGGGGGUGAGGGCUUCCCCGAGGUCACAGAGCUGGCAGGGGUGGAGCUGGUUCACACAAGGUCUGGGGCGCCAUGCUGGGGCCCCAGGGGGAGGUUCUGAGGCGUCUCCCUGAAGUUGGUGUGGAAUCGGGGCAGCGGGAACAAAACAGCCCCAGCCACGGGCGGUCUCGGGUGUGACUCUGGGUCCAGGUGGGCAGGGGCUUGGGAACCCCUGCAAGGACCACCCGUGCCAUGCAGGCAUCAGCGGGGUCCCCCGGGGGGCCCUCCACAAGGCUCUUCUGAACGGAACCCCUGAGUCAUUCUGCAACACUGACCCCAGCUCCUCACCUGGGGGCGGGCCCUUCAAGGCCAGGCUUGCCCUCCCCACCCUGCGCCCACCCUAGGCCUCCCAGGAGCUGGGGCAUUGGCAGGUUGGAAGGAAGGGUGCAGGGGUGUCGGAGCCCAAGGGGGCCUUGGGCAGCCUGGGUUGGGGAGGAGAAGUUUUCCCUGGGUGCUCUGUGGCUGCCCAGUCCAGUUGGGAUGAUGCCCUCAGGGUUUGGAGGGCUGCAAGGUUGGAGUGGGGGGGCGGGGUGGAAGAGGGACGGGGGGAGAGUGAGCCCUCCUGGGCUUGGGUCCGGGCUACGGGAGGGACUGAGGGGAUGGGAGGGAGGACCCCAAGGCCACAGACUCACUCUUGCCCGCCCACCGGCCCACCUGCCUUCCCAUGGCUUCGCUCCCACCCUGCUCCAGGCUCCACACCCCAGUAAGUCAGCCGGAGAGCCGGGGAGGGGGCCAGGCUCCGUACCAUCCCCACGCAGGUACCCCUGCAUCCAGGUAUCACCUCAGCACCCCUCCGGCCUCCUGGGGUGGACGGGGCCUAGAGUGGGGCUCCAGGCCCCCAGGCCCAGCAGAGAGGAAGAGCCUCUGCGGCUUCCACUGCAUCCAGGUAUCACCUCAGCACCCCUCCGGCCUCGUGGGGUGGGCGGGGCCUAGAGUGGGGCUCCAGGCCCCCAGGCCCAGCAGAGAGGAAGUGCCUCUGCGGCUUCCACUGUUGAGCUGGUUUCAUCAUCACUUCGUGCUGUGCUGUGGGAGGCAGGAGAGCUCCAGCCCUUGCAGUAGACGUGUGACGUGUCCCGGUGGCUUUUCUCUGGGGCGGAGGGAGCGCAGGGCCGGGCGUGGCCUUCCUCCCUUGGGGCUAAGGAGCUGCAGGGCCUGCACUUAACUCCUCCGGCCCUAGGACCUCAUGGCGGCACCAGAUGGUCCUUGUCUCCACGCAGGAGGUGCUGUUGAUGUCAUGGUGCUGCCAGCUUGGGGAGUGAAGACCGGAAACAGGCGAUCCAGGGCCCCCCGGCGCAGGGUGCUGAAAGAAGUGGCAAUUAGCACGUCUGAGCCUCCUUGUUGGGCCGGUACAACUAAGCCACGUGGGGUUUCCCAAGGACCAAGGCCGCAAAAUCCACUUCUGUCUGGAGACGUCACCAUGAGGAAUGUACGGCUGAGCCGCUCGCGUGUCUGAGGUUCACGUUGCUCUUGCCUGCAGCGCCUGUGCGUGUAGUGGUUGACAAUCUGCCUGCCAAUGCAGGGGACACGGGUUUGAG
Aethalodelphis obliquidens (Pacific white-sided dolphin) is the source of this 5000-nucleotide long non-coding RNA. RefSeq lists it as uncharacterized. The record is from RefSeq and is a predicted model, not a curated record. The transcript has 3 exons. NCBI's taxonomy places the organism in Eukaryota, Metazoa, Chordata, Mammalia, Artiodactyla, Delphinidae.